GUCUCCGUGGCGCAAUUGGUUAGCGCGUUCCUAUGUUAACCGAAAGGUUGGUGGUUCAAGCCCACCCGGGGACG
This 74-nucleotide transfer RNA is filed under the name Mizuhopecten yessoensis (Yesso scallop). RNAcentral describes it as "tRNA-Asn". It matches the Rfam family "tRNA". Rfam says of the family: Transfer RNA (tRNA) molecules are approximately 80 nucleotides in length. Their secondary structure includes four short double-helical elements and three loops (D, anti-codon, and T loops). Further hydrogen bonds mediate the characteristic L-shaped molecular structure. tRNAs have two regions of fundamental functional importance: the anti-codon, which is responsible for specific mRNA codon recognition, and the 3' end, to which the tRNAs corresponding amino acid is attached (by aminoacyl-tRNA synthetases). tRNAs cope with the degeneracy of the genetic code in two manners: having more than one tRNA (with a specific anti-codon) for a particular amino acid; and 'wobble' base-pairing, i.e. permitting non-standard base-pairing at the 3rd anti-codon position. The record is from Rfam by way of RNAcentral. Lineage: Eukaryota; Metazoa; Mollusca; Bivalvia; Pectinida; Pectinidae.